Rana temporaria (common frog) is the source of this 1315-nucleotide long non-coding RNA. RefSeq lists it as uncharacterized. The transcript is spliced from 2 exons. NCBI's taxonomy places the organism in Eukaryota, Metazoa, Chordata, Amphibia, Anura, Ranidae. The record is from RefSeq and is a predicted model, not a curated record.
GCUCACUCACCCCUUGGCAGUUAGCACCUCUCAUCCAGGUGUAUCUGAGGCUGCUGGGUUUUACAUUUCCGGCCCCCGCAGCCAGUAACCCUGCAGCCAUAGUCUGGUCUGAAAAAUGUGUCAGAGUUUCAGGCAGUCUGAAACCCGGACACAUGAUUCCAAACCCGAACUGUCCGGGUGAAUCCUGGACAGGUGGCAACCCUAGUACCAUUCCAUCUUCAAUUAAAAAUCCCAUUUUUCUUUACAGCUUUGAUGAGUUGCUGGAAUUACUCAGCAGCAGAUUGCAGAGGAUGGACACCUACUUCCGCAAUAGCAUACCCCCUGUGGAGCGACUUAUCAUCACACUGAGGUAUCUAUCAACUGGACAAUCCAUAGCAAGUCUACAUUACGCCUUCCGUAUAGGAAAGUCUACUGCCAGCUACAUAAUCCGUGACACCAGCUGUGCAAUUUGGGAAGUGCUAAAGGAAAUUGUUUUCAAAAACCAACAGCAGAGGAAUGAUCACAGAUUUCGGAAGUAUUCUGGCAACGCUGCAACUUCCCAAAUUGUCUAGGAGCGAUUGAUGGGAAACACAUUAGGAUUGUGAAGCCCAUGGCUAGUGGAAGACAGUAUUUCAACUAUAAAAAAUACUUUUCCUUUGUGUUGAUGGCUGUGGCUGAUGCCAAUUAUUAUUUCCGAUACAUCGACAUUGGGUCAUAUGGAAGCAGCGCGGACUCCGCUAUUUUUGGGAACUCUUCUUUUGGCCAAAUGCUACGUUCGGAUAAUCUGGACCUUCCGGAAAGUAGUCCACUCCCGGGCACAAAUGGCACUCCCCUACCCAGUGUUUUUGUGGGUGAUGAGGCCUUUGCUCUGAGCACACAUCUCCUACGGCCUUAUUCGGGCCAUAAUCUGACCGAGGAGAAAAGCGCCUAACCAGAGCACAUCGGGUAGUUGAAUGUGCUUUCGGUAUAUUGGCAAAUAAGUGGCGGGUUCUACACACUCCGAUUGUACUCAACAUGCAGAAUGCCAUCAGUGCUGUGAAAGCUGCGUGUGCCUUGCACAACUUUGUAAGGCAGUGUGAUGGUUUUGAUUAUGAGGAGCCAGUCAAUGAGAAUCUGGAAAGAGCUCAUUGGACUGGUGUACGUGGGAACACACAGGGUACACAUGUCCGUGAUCAGUAUGCGGCAUACUUCAUGUCUCCUGCAGGACAGGUCCCAUGGCAGCUGGAUUCGAUUUAAUCUUUUUUCUUUUUUUUAACCACUGUACUGUAUGCUAUGCUUUUUUGGUGAACUAUACCUUUUCCUAUGCUGUUUAGAGAAAAUAAAACAAUAAGAUUGA